This 253-nucleotide ribosomal RNA is filed under the name uncultured bacterium. RNAcentral's name for it is "partial 16S ribosomal RNA". It matches the Rfam family "Bacterial small subunit ribosomal RNA", at positions 524 to 776 of the family's 1533-position model. The record is from RNAcentral.
UACGAAGGGGGCUAGCGUUGUUCGGAAUUACUGGGCGUAAAGCGCACGUAGGCGGGCGGUUAAGUCAGGGGUGAAAUCCCGGAGCUCAACCCCGGAACAGCCUUUGAUACUGGCCAGCUAGAGAUCGGAAGAGGUAAGUGGAAUUCCCAGUGUAGAGGUGAAAUUCGUAGAUAUUGGGAAGAACACCAGUGGCGAAGGCGGCUUACUGGUCCGACACUGACGCUGAGGUGCGAAAGCGUGGGGAGCAAACAGG